AAAUCAACCUGGAUCCCUUCCUUCACAAUAAUCUCAUGGAGGUAAUUUAAAGAAUCCCUUUUUUGGAGAAUCAGAGAGAAAAGCAACAAAAAAGAGCAUGAGGAAUUUGAAGACUGAGAGAUGAGUUGUGUAGCACCAACAUUUUCUUUCUGCCUGACCUUAAUAUCUGAUGAAUUAAAAGUACUGGUGACAGUCACAGUUUCCCUCUGUCUUUUGGCUGUCAACACUGAAGGAUGAUAGAGAUGAGUAGAAGAAGGCCAAACCCAGCUAUCACCAGAACAGGGCCUCCUAGCUUUGUGAGCAUUUCACAGUAUUAUCUGGAGCUGUUUGGCUUAUAGAAGAGGGAAGGUACUAUGAGCUAAUUUGCCUCAAGCUACUCCUCACAGCUAUAGGCAGGAAGUGCUAUUUCCU
Molecule: small RNA, 411 nt
Filed under: Pongo abelii (Sumatran orangutan)
Lineage: Eukaryota; Metazoa; Chordata; Mammalia; Primates; Hominidae
Description: processed transcript
Source: RNAcentral